AAGAGCUUGCUCUUAUGGGUGGCGAGCUGGCGGACGGGUGACGAAUACAUCGGAAUCUACCUUUUCGUGGGGGAUAACGUAUGGAAACUUACGCUAAUACCGCAUACGACCUUCGGGUGAAAGCAGGGGACCUUCGGGCCUUGCGCGGAUAGAUGAGCCGAUGUCGGAUUAGCUAGUUGGCGGGGUAAAGGCCCACCAAGGCGACGAUCCGUAGCUGGUCUGAGAGGAUGAUCAGCCACACUGGAACUGAGACACGGCUCCAGACUCCUACGGGAGGCAGCAGUGGGGAAUAUUGGACAAUGGGCGCAAGCCUGAUCCAGCCAUACCGCGUGGGUGAAGAAGGCCUUCGGGUUGUAAAGCCCUUUUGUUGGGAAAGAAAAGCAGUCGGCUAAUACCCGGUUGUUCUGACGGUACCCAAAGAAUAAGCACCGGCUAACUUCGUGCCAGCAGCCGCGGUAAUACGAAGGGUGCAAGCGUUACUCGGAAUUACUGGGCGUAAAGCGUGCGUAGGUGGUUGUUUAAGUCUGUUGUGAAAGCCCUGGGCUCAACCUGGGAAUUGCAGUGGAUACUGGGCGACUAGAGUGUGGUAGAGGGUAGUGGAAUUCCCGGUGUAGCAGUGAAAUGCGUAGAGAUCGGGAGGAACAUCCAUGGCGAAGGCAGCUACCUGG
RNAcentral lists this ribosomal RNA (668 nucleotides) under Stenotrophomonas sp. GIC37. Its description in RNAcentral is "bacterial SSU rRNA". It matches the Rfam family "Bacterial small subunit ribosomal RNA", at positions 65 to 732 of the family's 1533-position model. The record is from RNAcentral. Lineage: Bacteria; Pseudomonadati; Pseudomonadota; Gammaproteobacteria; Lysobacterales; Lysobacteraceae.